GAGUUUGAUCUUGGCUCAGAUUGAACGCUGGCGGCAUGCCUUACACAUGCAAGUCGAGCGGCAGCACGGGGGCGAACCCUGGUGGCGAGUGGCGAACGGGUGAGUAAUACAUCGGAACGUGCCCAGUCGUGGGGGAUAACGUAGCGAAAGCUACGCUAAUACCGCAUACGAUCUCUGGAUGAAAGCGGGGGACCGCAAGGCCUCGCGCGAUUGGAGCGGCCGAUGGCAGAUUAGGUAGUUGGUGGGGUAAAGGCUCACCAAGCCGACGAUCUGUAGCUGGUCUGAGAGGACGACCAGCCACACUGGGACUGAGACACGGCCCAGACUCCUACGGGAGGCAGCAGUGGGGAAUUUUCCGCAAUCGACGCAAGUCGGACGGAGCAACGCCGCGUGCGGAAGACGGCCCUCGGUUGUAACCGCUUUUGUGAGGGAAGAAGAUCUGCGGUACCUCACGAAUAAGUCACGGCUAACUACGUGCCAGCCGCCGCGGU
This 491-nucleotide ribosomal RNA is filed under the name uncultured beta proteobacterium. RNAcentral's name for it is "bacterial SSU rRNA". It matches the Rfam family "Bacterial small subunit ribosomal RNA", at positions 9 to 521 of the family's 1533-position model. The record is from RNAcentral. Lineage: Bacteria; Pseudomonadati; Pseudomonadota; Betaproteobacteria.